Molecule: ribosomal RNA, 427 nt
Filed under: uncultured bacterium
Lineage: Bacteria
Description: bacterial SSU rRNA
Rfam family: Bacterial small subunit ribosomal RNA
Source: RNAcentral
UGGGGAAUUUUGGACAAUGGGGGCAACCCUGAUCCAGCCAUCCCGCGUGUGCGAUGAAGGCCUUCGGGUUGUAAAGCACUUUUGGCAGGGAAGAAACAGCCUGGGCUAAUAUCCCGGGCGACUGACGGUACCUGCAGAAUAAGCACCGGCUAACUACGUGCCAGCAGCCGCGGUAAUACGUAGGGUGCAAGCGUUAAUCGGAAUUACUGGGUGUAAAGGGUGCUCAGGCGGAUUUGUAAGUCAGAGGUGAAAUCUUACAGCUUAACUGUGAAACUGCCUUUGAUACUGCAAGCCUAGAGUAUGGAAGAGAGUGAUGGAAUAUCUGGUGUAGCAGUGAAAUGCGUAGAUAUCAGAUAGAACACCAAUGGCGAAGGCAGUCACUUGAUCCAUUACUGACGCUAAAGCACGAAAGCGUGGGUAGCAAACA